This 326-nucleotide unclassified non-coding RNA is filed under the name soil metagenome. RNAcentral's name for it is "partial contains 5.8S ribosomal RNA, internal transcribed spacer 2, and large subunit ribosomal RNA". The stretch from base 1 to 119 matches the Rfam family "5.8S ribosomal RNA", at positions 35 to 154 of the family's 154-position model. The record is from RNAcentral.
GAUGAAGACGUAGCGAAAUGCGAUAAGUAAUGUGAAUUGCAGAAUUCAGUGAAUCAUCGAAUCUUUGAACGCACAUUGCGCCCACUAGUAUUCUGGUGGGCAUGCCUGUUCGAGCGUCAUUUCAACCCUCAAGCCUGGCUUGGUGUUGGGGCUCUGCGCAUGCAGUCCCUUUAAUCCAGUGGCGGACACGCUAGGUCUCCGAGCGCAGUAGUUUCUUCUCGCUUCGGGCGUCCGGCGUGGGCUUGCCUCGCACCCACUAUUUACAAGGUUGACCUCGGAUCAGGUAGGAAUACCCGCUGAACUUAAGCAUAUCAAUAAGCGGAGGA